AAUCAAACUGAUAUCGGAUAGUUACUCCAAGUCGCCCUGGUCAUCCCUUUGUAGGUAAGGUGUGCUCCUUCGAGCAGCUGGAGCACGUGAGGGAGAUGCAGGAGAAGCUGGCGCGACUGCACUUCAGCCUGGACAGCCACGUGGAGGAGCUCUCAGAGGACCAGAGGAAGUGCGCCUCCGACCACAACCUGGAGCACCUGCUCUGCAACCUGGAGGAGCUCAGCACCUCGAUGUAUCCUUCCCCUACAAACCGGUUGAAUGUUUGUUUUAUGGGAGUCGCCCAAGUUAAUCCAGUUUAACGUCAGCGUUCGUCCGUUUUUGAAUCUUUAAACGCCGCUCAGACAAAAGCUGCACUUGGCCGAGAACCAGGACGUGCCCAAGACGUCUGGUCCCUGACGCUCCCAACGUCCAAACCAGUCCAGGUUGCCAUGGCAGCGACCCAGCGGGCGUCGGUAACGAAAUGGGAAGAUCUACAGGAGGAGGAGGAGGAGCUGGAGGAGGAGGAGGAGGAGGAGCUGCUAUUUCUCCAUUCGGUGGGCGUGGCAGAGGGAACAGCUGACCGUGUGCCUCGUCCCUUUGCAUCGUCUCAGGAGGGACGCCUCUGCGUUUGCACAGUCGAGAACUAGAACUUGUCGACAGCACUGUGGUUCGCUCGGAACUUUAAAAGGGAGUUUUCACUUUUGCUGUUAUUCAGAAGGCCCUUCCUUGCUUUUAUAGAUUGGCUUUAUAGGAUUAACACGGGAAAAUAAACACUGGAUGGAAUCUUUGAUACAUUUCAAAGGGUCUACGUAAAAAGACACAAUGUGUGUUUGAUGGUUGCAUGUAAAAUGGUUGAGAUGUUUUUGCCAAUGUGUGAUCAAGCUACUGUAUUUGACACCGAUGUGUUAAAAUAAUUUGAGCUGGGAUGAUUUCGUCGGAACCUUUUCAGGGUUAUUACUCUUCUCCUGAAAUGAUCUACUGCACCAUGUGAUACUGCGUCGUUUGAUAGCACAUCUGAAGAGUUGUGCUUAAAGAAGUCUCUGUACAAGUAUAAUUUCAAAAUGGCAGCUACUUUUUAUAAUUAAAAGUUUAGAUGGUCA
RNA transcript from Pungitius pungitius (ninespine stickleback), 1079 nucleotides. RefSeq lists it as uncharacterized. The record is from RefSeq and is a predicted model, not a curated record. NCBI's taxonomy places the organism in Eukaryota, Metazoa, Chordata, Actinopteri, Perciformes, Gasterosteidae. The transcript is spliced from 2 exons.